This is a transfer RNA of Phytophthora infestans T30-4, 72 nucleotides long. It matches the Rfam family "tRNA". From Rfam's summary of the family: Transfer RNA (tRNA) molecules are approximately 80 nucleotides in length. The record is from Rfam. Lineage: Eukaryota; Oomycota; Peronosporomycetes; Peronosporales; Peronosporaceae.
GGGCGCAUAGCGAAGUGGUAGCGCGUCCGCUUUGCAAGCCGAAGGCCCUGGGUUCAAUCCCCGGUGUGUCCA